AGUGAACGCUGGCGGUAGGCCUAACACAUGCAAGUCGAACGGCAGCACAGUAAGAGCUUGCUCUUACGGGUGGCGAGUGGCGGACGGGUGAGGAAUACAUCGGAAUCUACUUUUUCGAGGGGGCUAACGUAGGGAAACUUACGCUAAUACCGCAUACGACCUACGGGUGAAAGCAGGGGAUCUUCGGACCUUGCGUGAUUGAAUGAGCCGAGGUCGGAUUAGCUAGUUGGUGGGGUAAAGGCCCACCAAGGCGACGAUCCGUAGCUGGUCUGAGAGGAUGGUCAGCCACACUGGAACUGAGACACGGUCCAGACUCCUACGGGAGGCAGCAGUGGGGAAUAUUGGACAAUGGGCGCAAGCCUGAUCCAGCCAUACCGCGUGGGUGAAGAAGGCCUUCGGGUUGUAAAGCCCUUUUGUUGGGAAAGAAAAGCAGCAGGUUAAUACCCCGCUGUUCUGACGGUACCCAAAGAAUAAGCACCGGCUAACUUCGUG
RNAcentral lists this ribosomal RNA (492 nucleotides) under uncultured bacterium. RNAcentral's name for it is "partial 16S ribosomal RNA". It matches the Rfam family "Bacterial small subunit ribosomal RNA", at positions 29 to 507 of the family's 1533-position model. The record is from RNAcentral.